UACAGGGGGGGGCAAGCGUUGUUCGGAAUUACUGGGCGUAAAGGGCGCGUAGGCGGCCAACUAAGUCAGACGUGAAAUCCCUCGGCUUAACCGGGGAACUGCGUCUGAUACUGGAUGGCUCGAGAUUGGGAGAGGGAUGCGGAAUUCCAGGUGUAGCGGUGAAAUGCGUAGAUAUCAGGAGGAAUACCGGUGGCGAAAGCGACUCUCUGGACGGUAACUGACGCUGAGGCACGAAAGCGUGGGGAGCAAACAGG
This 254-nucleotide ribosomal RNA is filed under the name uncultured bacterium. RNAcentral describes it as "partial 16S ribosomal RNA". It matches the Rfam family "Bacterial small subunit ribosomal RNA", at positions 524 to 776 of the family's 1533-position model. The record is from RNAcentral.